GGGCUUAUAAAACAGGAAAAACUAAGGGUUAAAGAUGUUUGGUUACUAGCACGUGGAAGGCGUGUUAUGUUAGAGUUCAAUGAAUCAUUCCAACCAAUUGGAGAUCCAGCUGGACUUCUUGGAGGGAUUUUAGGAGAAUUAGCCUCUGAUUUUGUUGCUUUUCCUGUCAAUUAUGAAAGUUGGCACAAAGUACCGAAGACAUACAAAGAAGAAAUUUACAAAAAUAGAAUCAUGGAAAAAUUUAAUGUUGACGAGGGGCCUGCUAAAAAUUUUAUUUUGAAGAACAUUGGGAAGAAAUGGAAGGACAAUAGAUGUAAAUUAUACCAUGAGUGGUAUGAUCCCAAUAUUGGUCGAGAAGCAAAUAUUACAAAGCAUCCACCGGGAAUAUCUCAAGACCAAUGGGCAAGUUUUAUUGACUAUCGUGCACGAGAUAAGACUAAGGAGAUAUGUCAAAAAAAUGCUGAAAAUCGAUUCAAAUUGACAAUUCCACACACAGGAGGGUCGAAAAGUCUAGCAAGGAAAAAAUAUGAGAUGGUAAUAUUGCAAAAAUUUAUCCUUAAUAUGAAUUUUUUAUUCUAACAUCAACUAAUAUUUAUGUGAAAUUGUUCUAAAUUAUAGGAAAUUGAGAGUGGCCAACCUGUGAGUAGGGGUUUAUUAUACAUUGCGACGCAUAAGAAGAAAGAUGGAUCUUUUGUGAAUGAAGGAGCACGAACUAUAAGCGAGAAAAUUUCUGAGAUUGAGAGCCAAGGCACGUCUUCACAGUCAGUCUCCUUAAAUGAUUCACUUGCUCGUGUGCUAGGAAAAGAACAUUCAGGCCGAGUUCGAGGUUUGGGCUUCGGUCCUAGUCCAAACCAAGUUUUUGGGACCAUUGCUCAAUUCAGUGGGACACCCUCGUCAUCCAAUAAUACUAAUACACCUGUUGUACAAUAUGUGAAAAAAUUAGAGGAAAAAUUAGAGACUAGUCAACAAGAGGUUCGAAGUUUAAAGAGUGCAAUGGCUUAUAUUUUCACCAAUAUCGUGGGGAAUAUACCACCUGAGUUUGCUGCUAUGCUCAAUACAAUGGCACCAGAUGCACAUAGUGGACCAGUGUCACCAGCAGGAAGGCUCUCUUCUAAUGCAAGUCAUGACAUUCAUCAGACCCAUCAAGAUCCAAACCAACAAAGUUGAUGUGAUGAUAUGGAACUUCAUUUUGGAUAUUAAAUUGUUUAAAAUAUGUUACAUAUUUGGAUAUUUAAGUUGUAUUGAAUAUUUAUGGUUUAUUGAUUAAAUGGAUUGAAAUA
Diospyros lotus (date-plum) is the source of this 1280-nucleotide long non-coding RNA. RefSeq lists it as uncharacterized. The transcript has 5 exons. The record is from RefSeq and is a predicted model, not a curated record. NCBI's taxonomy places the organism in Eukaryota, Viridiplantae, Streptophyta, Magnoliopsida, Ericales, Ebenaceae.